UACGACUCCCAGCAUGACAUACCAAAACAACUCAAAAAACAGCAUAAAAUAUGUUUUUUGUUUUGGUUCAUAGGAUCGCGGACAGAUCAUUGUUGUGGACUGUUUGAGUUUUAAAAGAAAAGUGUCGGAGGGCGAAGGAUUGCGGCAACAAAAAAAUACGCACUGCUUUACGGUACCUGGUCCCCCGACAACGACCAACCAAGCGGCGGCGGACGUUGUACGGAGGACGCUUCUAGAAACCUUAAAAAAGAGCGCGCCAUCCGCUUUAUGGUCAUGGUCUGUCAGAGAACCUCAAGACGAACGUCGAGUACAUUAAGAUUGCCGGAACCCGGGCGGAUCGGCUAUCAACAACUUCGCCAACGGCAAACUCAUAAUUACGCACGCAGAUGCAGGUCGUCUGGGCCGCUUGGGACAACGUGUCCGAGAAUCCAAAAA
Long non-coding RNA from Culex quinquefasciatus (southern house mosquito), 435 nucleotides. RefSeq lists it as uncharacterized. The transcript has 2 exons. The record is from RefSeq and is a predicted model, not a curated record. Lineage: Eukaryota; Metazoa; Arthropoda; Insecta; Diptera; Culicidae.